UUUCGGCUCUGGAGGGGAGUUUCGGCCGCCGAACCUACCCCCGAAAGUGGGUGAAUUUCGACUCUGGAAGGACUUUCGGCUGCCGAACCUGCCCCCGAAAGUGCCUGACUUUCGGCUCUGGAGGGACCUUCAGCCGCCGAACUUGCCGCCAAAAAUCCCCUGUUCAGCCUUCCUUUGCAUGUAUUCUAUGAAUGUUUUAUGAUGUUUUAAGGGGUUUUUGGGGAGUUAUUUAGAGUAUGUUUGGUCCCUCAUUUGAGUCUACCUGUGUAGGAUCGGACCCGAG
This 283-nucleotide long non-coding RNA is filed under the name Manihot esculenta (cassava). Its description in RNAcentral is "long non-coding RNA (MESC_LNC001568)". Lineage: Eukaryota; Viridiplantae; Streptophyta; Magnoliopsida; Malpighiales; Euphorbiaceae. The record is from RNAcentral.